GUAGAUACAUAUGAGAAAACGUUAUCUAUUUACAAGGGCAAUUUUUUGAUUUAAUUAGAUAACGUAUUUUUUUAAAAACGUUGUCUAUAAAGAAAAAACACGGAGCAAAAAUUCACGGUUAAAUGAAAACUUAAAAUUAAAACACCGAGCGCGGAGCAUGGUUAUGUCUUUCUAUGCUCUUUUUCGCUUACAAAACCAAAACCCUAGUUAUGGAUUUCUCCCCAUCUCAAGUCGUCGACGUCUACAUACGUCCAGGUAACCGGCGACUAAGCAAGGAAAUCUUCAUGGAUUCAACACUACUCACUACUGGUAGACUGGUAGGUCAUGUGAAGAGAGGGUUUAACUCUAAAAUCUCCAUGGAUUCAACAUCUCCAGCUUCGCAGCCGAAGAAGAGAGGGAGGCCGAAGGGUUCGAAAACCAAGGAGGAUAGAGAAAGCGGCACAAAAGGAGUAGCAGUUAGAAUAUGAGAGGCGGCGGCGCUGGUGAUAAAAAGGUUGCCGGUAUCAAUUUCUGCCGGUACCAAUCUCCAUGGCCUUCUCUCUCUUGCCGGUACCAAUUUCUGUCCCUAUAUCUCUAUAUAUGUGUAUUUGUGUUUGUUCUGAUACUCUAUCUAGGGUUUAAAAUUGUGCUAUUUGCUUGAACGUGGUUUAAUGGACUGUAGUUAGCCUUUAAAAUUAAUUUAGAAUUUUAAAUUUUAAUCUUGAUUUUUUAGAAUUAACGGACAUCCGUAAUAUUAACAUCCGUGAUGUAGGCUAUUUUAGAAUUUGGCAAUAUGAUACCAAUUUUUCUGUAGGCUAUUUUCAGCUAAAGUGAGAAAUUUAGUAUGAUGCAACAGUUGUGAAUUAAGUCACUUUAUAUUUUUUUUCCCCUCUUGGCUAUAGCGAAUUUAGUUUUGUGCUUAUAUAAUUAUUCUUUUAGCCUGGGAUUCUCCAUAUGCCUGGUUGCAUGGAAAAACAUCAAUUACUGAUCCAACAGUCUAGAGAGCAAUAAAUUAAUUUCUGUAGUGAUGAAAGCAUUCCUCUAAGAGCUUGCUUCAAAUUUGUUUCUUAUUUUGAUUUUCUGCUUGGUUUAAUUAAAUUGAUGCUUCCAACAGCAAUGCAUGUUUACAAUAUCAAAGGCUUGGCUUUGUCCAGCGUAGUCUGCAAGAUUAGAGAAUACAUUUGGGAACAAAUUUUAGGCUCAACUGUAUGAAAUUGAGGCUCAUGUCCUGCUGUGUGUAGACGCAAAAGCAUUUUCCUACUUUAGUUGCAGAUCUCAAGAAAAAUAAUUUAGACUUAUCAGUACUCUUCGCUCCUUUAGUUUGCUUGGCUUUUGGAUUUUAUCGAAGCAAACUAUAAAUUUGAGCUUUGUUUUACAGAAUGCAAAAAAGAUUGAACACAGGAAAACACACCAAACUGACAGUAUGAUGCAUUAACCAGGUCAAGUCUAAAUUUCCGUACCGUAUGUCAAAAUUAGAACUUGGAACCUUUGGAAUUUAAAGGCACACGACAAUUAGAAAACAAAAUUAAAUUUGGAUAAUUUUUUAUUUGCAUGGACUACUAGCAAAACCGUCAAGAAUAACAGAGGAUACAGAUUGUUUGCAGAGUCGUAAGUGCUACAUUUGUUGCAUCAUACUAAAUUUUAGAAUUUUAAAUUUUAAUCUUGAUUUUAAAAUUAAUGGACUGUAGUUAGCCUUUAAAAUUAACAUCCGUAAUAUGUCUGUUAUUGCCCAUGUUGAUCAUGNN
RNAcentral lists this long non-coding RNA (1724 nucleotides) under Panax ginseng (ginseng). RNAcentral's name for it is "long non-coding RNA (PGIN_LNC006245)". The record is from RNAcentral. Lineage: Eukaryota; Viridiplantae; Streptophyta; Magnoliopsida; Apiales; Araliaceae.